RNAcentral lists this ribosomal RNA (244 nucleotides) under uncultured bacterium. Its description in RNAcentral is "partial small subunit ribosomal RNA". It matches the Rfam family "Bacterial small subunit ribosomal RNA", at positions 26 to 285 of the family's 1533-position model. The record is from RNAcentral.
AGAAUCAACGCUGGCGGCGUGCCUAACACAUGCAAGUCGCACGAGAAAGGGUAGCAAUACCUGAGUACAGUGGCGCACGGGUGAGUAACACGUGACUAACCUACCCUCGAGUGGGGAAUAACCUAGGGAAACCUGGGCUAAUACCGCAUAACACUUACGAGUCAAAGCAGCAAUGCGCUUGGGGAGGGGUCGCGGCCGAUUAGCUAGUUGGCGGGGUAAUGGCCCACCAAGGCAAUGAUCGGUA